Ostrea edulis (European flat oyster) is the source of this 695-nucleotide long non-coding RNA. RefSeq lists it as uncharacterized. The record is from RefSeq and is a predicted model, not a curated record. Lineage: Eukaryota; Metazoa; Mollusca; Bivalvia; Ostreida; Ostreidae. The transcript has 4 exons.
UGGUUUUUUUUUUUUAAUAUUGAUAUACACUGUAUGUCAAAAGAUGUCCCUGCAGAAGGAAAUUAUUGAAGAUCAUCAUAUUAUUUUUAUAAACUAGUUAACUUAUUAAUUAAUUAACCAAUCAAUUCAGAGCGGGUCUUCACAGUACUUGGCUCUAACAACCGUAAAUUGAGAUCGGGUUCCUGAUAAAAAGCAUCGGGUGUGCACUCCGAGUUCCCGCGCAUAGUCAGCAUGCAGACCAUGCAGACGCCAUUUUUAUGAUGUUGUGACCUACCGUAAACAUUAUGAACAGACAUUUAAGAAUAGCCUUCAACAGGGACCCGAGGGAGUUCGUGGUGUUAUCCUGAAGAGACUCCCAACCAUUAAAAUAUAAUUCAUGAUGGAUACAGAAUUUAUAUGGUGUGACCACUGACCAGACUGGUUUUAAUAUGCCAUUCUGAGAAUUACACUAUGCAGACCUGGAUCAAUGUUUAUAUAGUUCCAAAAUGAGUUUACUCUGAAUGACACUUCAGUUCAUGCACAUUUUAGAAUGUACGUCAUCAAUGUUCUCCCAAAGGAAAGUGAGCAAAAACUUAUCCAGAGAAUCAACAGCACAUUUUUGUGAAACUUUUUAAAAUGCGCAGGAGAAAUAGGAUUACGAAGAAGAGAAGCUUUGUCAUAAUUUUUAUAGUAUGAAUUAAAUGCAAUUUCUCAUA